Molecule: ribosomal RNA, 440 nt
Filed under: uncultured bacterium
Lineage: Bacteria
Description: bacterial SSU rRNA
Rfam family: Bacterial small subunit ribosomal RNA
Source: RNAcentral
CCUACGGGUGGCUGCAGUAACGAAUCUUCCGCAAUGCACGAAAGUGUGACGGAGCGACGCCGCGUGGAGGACCAAGUCCUUCGGGAUGUAAACUCCUGUCAGGGGCAGCCAAGUCCUGAGGCGCCCCAGAGGAAGGCACGGCUAACUCUGUGCCAGCAGCCGCGGUAAGACAGAGGUGCCGAGCGUUAGGCGGAAUCACUGGGCUUAAAGCGUGUGUAGGCGGGUCGUUAAGUACCUUGUGAAAUCCCACGGCUCAACCGUGGAACCGCUGGGUGUACUGGCGAUCUUGAGAGACCUAGGGGUCACCGGAACAGGCGGUGGAGCGGUGAAAUGCGUAGAUAUCGCCUGGAACGCCGGCGGCGAAAGCGGGUGACUGGAGGUCUUCUGACGCUGAGACACGAAAGCCAGGGGAGCGAACGGGAUUAGAUACCCGAGUAGUC